RNAcentral lists this long non-coding RNA (999 nucleotides) under Citrus sinensis (sweet orange). Its description in RNAcentral is "long non-coding RNA (CSIN_LNC000940)". Lineage: Eukaryota; Viridiplantae; Streptophyta; Magnoliopsida; Sapindales; Rutaceae. The record is from RNAcentral.
AUACAGUUACUUCAUGUCGCCGACGAUAAGCCUCAGAAGAUAUACUGAUUCCUCCCACUGACGAUCCAUGUCCUCUUGUGGACAAUCCCCCUUGUCCCACUCCCACACUUGCCGUACCAUUUGGUAUGUUAUGAGAUUGAACUGGUCCACCUCUUGCACUCUUUGGAAAAAAAGGACAUAGAGGCAUUACUUUAAAGAAAUUGGAAAAAUUAAAGUUUUAAGUGAAAACUCCGCUACAGCUUUACGCACACACACACACACAGAUAUUAUUAUUAUUACUAUUCUUGGGUUUCAUUGACCGUGCUGCUUCAAUAGGCUACAACAAUUGUCGCAUUAACAAGUCUAUCUACCCUUUCUUUUUCCAUUUCAGCUGUCCAUGUCCUUUUUAAAUUUAAAUUGGAAUACACUAAAGUUUAAUGCAAAGUGUCCAAAAAAUUUUACCUACAUUUUGCAAGCCAGAAUCAACAAGAAAAGACAACUGAAAUCUCCUAGUUAGAUAAGAGUGUAAUGACUACCUACAAUCAAAUAUUUAGUAACUAUGACUUCCAAUAUCGUCAGAAUUCAUGUGCAAAACAUACCGCAAUUAUCGUGUAAAAUGGGAAGACUCUUGUAUGUUAGAAACAAUAUACCACUGAAUGUCGAAGUAACAAUUCCAAAAACAAGUAAAGCAUCUACCUGAUUUCCCCUUGUGCCUGCCUCAAGUUUUGAACCAGCAUUGGUGUCUCUGCCACCGUAGCUAUUAUCUUCAUUUUCAGGACUAUAUCCAUGUCGUUGUCCUUGAGAAAAUUGUUGAACCUGAACUGAAGAGCUUACGGGUACUGAAGAGGACUUGGGUGGAGCCAUCAUUGCAGGUCUCUCAUACUGAGUGACAUUUGUCUCGGGAUUCCAAAAGUAAAGAUAACCAGUUCUACCAUCAACCAGGCCUUUCCAUGGUUUGGGAAGAGUUGGAUCCUCUGGAGCAUAUCUUACACUAGCCGAAGUAGCAGUCGCAGUGGCAGC